This 1211-nucleotide long non-coding RNA is filed under the name Setaria viridis. Its description in RNAcentral is "long non-coding RNA (SVIR_LNC011199)". The record is from RNAcentral. Lineage: Eukaryota; Viridiplantae; Streptophyta; Magnoliopsida; Poales; Poaceae.
UCCACGAUUACCGAUGUUUGCAGUACACCUCUCCUUUACAAUAAUGAAAACUCGUGUAAUAUACAUGAAUAAGAGGAACAAAUCAUUACAUGCAAUUAUGCUAGUGGCAAGUUGAAGUUCUAUCAUACCUUUGAGGUGGGCUAGACCACAACGUAACCAGAUUGUUCCACUGGUUGUCAUUCAUUGUGGUCACAAGAGUUUUGGUUGGGACUUCAUUUGCUGCAAGACUAUUGAAGUACUUUUUCUUGAGCCGGUACCUCCCAUGUCUCUGUUGCGACUUGAGCAUGUCAGUGCAUGCCUCUAUGACAGGUUGACUAGUGGUGUCAAUGUUAAAUUGUCCCUAUAUUAAGCACAAUACAAGAGUAGUUAAAAAAUGGAUGAAAAGAAAGAAUGCAAAGAACUAUGGUAGUAAAUAAGUCGAUAGAUACGCACCGCCAGUUUACCAAUGUAGUUCUUGAGUUGUUUUUCAUUAUCGGCCUUGUAGUCCUUCCAGCGAGUAAGGAUUGGUAUAUGCCCACGCAUUAUGAUCCCACCCUCUGAUGCAAACUUUGCAGUUUGCAUUGGUACCUCUGGCCGUUUGAGCCCUUCUCGAACAUGCAUCGGAAGCUUGGUGUGUAACCCUCUGUUUAUCCUAUCCAGAUCUCUGCCCAACCUUCUUGAAUCCUAUGGCACUUAUGCUCUUGUGGAAGGGUGUGCAUCACCUAACAAUUUUGUUACGGUCAUACAGGUGGUGUGUGUUAAUAAUGAUUUGGUUGCUAAUGAAGACAUUCCAAAUUUUUGGCUUUGGGAAAAAGAGAUUAAAUGACUUGCCUUUGCCAGUUGUCAUGUCGAUGAUGUCCUUGGUGUGAGUGGUUGUUGCUUAGCCUUCAGUUGGCAAUUCUUAUGAAUCAGGAGUCGUCCCAUCUGAACCUCCUGCCUGAGCUAAAGCCAAUGCCUUUGCCUUGGUCCUAGUCACUCUAGGAGGCAUACUGUCAGAGGCAUCAGGUGCCCGAAUUCUCUUGGACAACCCUCUUCCCCCGUUGACAGGUAUGCUAUCACUAAUCUGAUUGGACAAAUUGCAUAAACAAAAAUAAUGAGAAGCAAUCCUGCAUAACUGAUACAAGAAAUUUGGUAGGCAACAAUAGUACCUCGUGUUGGCAUGUCUCUUGGUCAGAUUCAGGCCGUUCCUGAGAUGGGUCAUACUUCGGAUCUGGAUCUUCACUCCUUCUUCC